Molecule: long non-coding RNA, 383 nt
Organism: Pterocles gutturalis (yellow-throated sandgrouse)
Lineage: Eukaryota; Metazoa; Chordata; Aves; Pterocliformes; Pteroclidae
Exons: 3
Source: RefSeq, a predicted model, not a curated record
UUUAUGACAGUUAUGUGAGGAUCAUGAAGUUCUCAGCUUUAUUAAAUACAAAGUGUUUGAUCCAAAACCUUCUGCCAAAACGCUCUCUGGGCUGUUGGAAUGGGAAUGUAAGACAGAUGCAGUGGAAGCUCUCACUGUACUUAAUCACUACCAGAUAAGAGUCCCAAAUGGCUCCAACCCUUACACCUUGAAGCUUUGCUUCUCUACUUCAUCCCAUUUAUAGAGAAGACAGCAUGUUAAGAGCUACGUUCACCUUGACUUGCAAGUUUAAAACUACACUUCGUUCAGAAAGCUCUGAAGUGGUUGUUCUAAUGUUGCCUUGUUUCAACUUAAUAAUAUCUUUUGUCUUAUUUUAUAAUAAAUUGAUGUUCCUUCAUAAAUAC